This 1276-nucleotide long non-coding RNA is filed under the name Bos indicus x Bos taurus (hybrid cattle). Its description in RNAcentral is "lncRNA (ENSBIXG00000024526.1)". The record is from RNAcentral. Lineage: Eukaryota; Metazoa; Chordata; Mammalia; Artiodactyla; Bovidae.
AGUAGAAUACUACUCAACCAGAGAAAAGAAUGAAAUAAUGCCAUUUGCAGCAACAUGGAUGGGCCUAGAGAAUAUACUAAGUGAUGUAAGUUGGAGAAAGACAAUACUAUAUAGUAUCGCCUAUAUGUGAAAUCUAAAAUAUGAUACAAAACAAACUUAUUUACAAAAUGGAAACAGACUCACGGACAUAGAGAACAAACAUGGUUACCAAAGAGGAAAGGGGCAGGGAGGGGAAUAAAUGAGAAGUUUCGGGAUUAACAGGUACAACUACUAUAUAUUAAAUAGAUAAACGACAAGGUGCUGCUGUAUAGCACAGGGAACUAUAUUAAAUAUCUUAUAAUAACCUGUAAUGAAAAAGAAUACAAAAAGAAUUUACGUAUGUGUAUAUAUAUGACUGAACCACUUUGCUGUACAUUAGAAACUAACGUGUUAUAAAUCAACUAUACUACAGCCCCCACCACCAAACCAUAGAGAGGCAUGGAGUAAAACUUAAUAAUCCAUUAAAUAGAAUUAAUUUCAUUUAAACACUGCAUAUAUACAUAUACCAUAUACAGAUAGGUUUUUUAUUGCAUUUUUGGGUUUCAGUCCUUAUUGUCUUUCAGAGCUGUCCUCCUAUCUUAGGUAGCUUUGAGAGGCUACAUUCUAGCUACAUGUUGCAUAGAUAGCCAAAUGAGUAGUUUGCAAUGUGGUUGGUACAGGAAUUAGUGGGGACUCAACAUGCUUUUUUGGUUCAUGCAGCCUUCAUGUAGACUAGACUCUGUAUCAGGUCUUUUAAACGGGCUUGUUGAGUAUUUUACUCUCAUUUUAAUCUGUAUCUCAUUUUAUUUGAAUUGAACUCCCUGGGUUUGAUGUCGGUGGAGGAAACUGGAUUCAUUUGCCCUAAGCAAAAUGUCACAUUCUUCCUGCUUGGAUAGCAAGACCUGGAGGAAAAGGAGGACUCACAGGAGGCCAAGGGCAGAUUCUGUACCGUCUGAGCCACCAGAGCUCCUGAGAACACUAGCACAAAGAGGCUUGUCUUGUUACUGAGCAACCUGGCUUAACUUAACACUCAAGGACAGAACGAGCUAUGGAAGAGGCCAAGAAGGGAUUUCUAAUGAACUGGGUGGUAAGUUACCUUGACAGUCUUGAGAUUCUUGACUUUAAAAAAAAACAAAAUAUCAUAUUUACAAAUAAUUGUGGUGCCAGUGACCUAUGGUGGAUAUAAAGUUUAUUUGAAAGAAUUCAUGCAAAGUGCUUAGCACAGUGCCGAGAGCAAAAUAAUGAAUGUUACAUGAUG